RNAcentral lists this ribosomal RNA (253 nucleotides) under uncultured bacterium. RNAcentral's name for it is "partial 16S ribosomal RNA". It matches the Rfam family "Bacterial small subunit ribosomal RNA", at positions 524 to 776 of the family's 1533-position model. The record is from RNAcentral.
CACGUAGGGCGCAAGCGUUGUCCGGAAUUAUUGGGCGUAAAGAGCUCGUAGGCGGUCUGUUACGUCUGCUGUGAAAACCCGGGGCUUAACCCUGGGCUUGCAGUGGAUACGGGCAGACUAGAGGCAGGUAGGGGAGAAUGGAAUUCCCGGUGUAGCGGUGGAAUGCGUAGAUAUCGGGAAGAACACCGGUGGCGAAGGCGGCUCGCUGGGCCAAUGCUGACGCUGAGGCGCGAAAGCGUGGGGAGCAAACGGG